GGAUGUGAGUGCGAUCUGGCUGCGACAUCUGUCACCCCAUUGAUCGCCAGGGUUGAUUCGGCUGAUCUGGCUGGCUAGGCGGGUAUCCCCCUCCUCCCUCACCGAUCCAUGUGCGUCCCUCCCCAAGCUGCGCGCUCGGUGGAAGAGGACGACCUCCACCCCGCCCGCCCCCCAGGAGAGGACCGGUCUUCGGUCAAGGGUAUACGAGUAGCUGCGCUCCCCUGCUAGAACCUCCAAACAAGCUCUCAAAGUACACAUCCUAUAAAAUUUGGAUCAAACUCAUCUGACUCAACUUCCUUGAUCUCCCAGGCAAAAUUAGU
RNAcentral lists this small nuclear RNA (320 nucleotides) under Myotis davidii. Its description in RNAcentral is "7SK RNA". It matches the Rfam family "7SK RNA". From Rfam's summary of the family: 7SK was discovered as an abundant small nuclear RNA in the mid-70s but a possible function has only recently been suggested. Two independent studies have found that 7SK RNA binds the CDK9/cyclin T complex (known as elongation factor P-TEFb). Lineage: Eukaryota; Metazoa; Chordata; Mammalia; Chiroptera; Vespertilionidae. The record is from Rfam by way of RNAcentral.